GACCUCCAAUCAGUCAA
This 17-nucleotide ribosomal RNA is filed under the name Mallomonas sp. RNAcentral's name for it is "partial 28S ribosomal RNA". Lineage: Eukaryota; Synurophyceae; Synurales; Mallomonadaceae. The record is from RNAcentral.